CAGUAGCCGCGGGAAUACGUAGGUGGCAAGCGUUGUCCGGAAUUAUUGGGCGUAAAGGGCUCGCAGGCGGUUUCUUAAGUCUGAUGUGAAAGCCCCCGGCUCAACCGGGGAGGGUCAUUGGAAACUGGGAAACUUGAGUGCAGAAGAGGAGAGAGGAAUUCCACGUGUAGCGGUGAAAUGCGUAGAGAUGUGGAGGAACACCAGUGGCGAAGGCGACUCUCUGGUCUGUAACUGACGCUGAGGAGCGAAAGCGUGGGGAGCGAACAGGAUUAGAUACCCCAGUAGUCCCUGUCUCUUAUAC
This 301-nucleotide ribosomal RNA is filed under the name uncultured bacterium. RNAcentral's name for it is "partial 16S ribosomal RNA". It matches the Rfam family "Bacterial small subunit ribosomal RNA", at positions 509 to 807 of the family's 1533-position model. The record is from RNAcentral.